Molecule: small nucleolar RNA, 131 nt
Organism: Dipodomys ordii (Ord's kangaroo rat)
Lineage: Eukaryota; Metazoa; Chordata; Mammalia; Rodentia; Heteromyidae
Source: Ensembl
GGGCCUGUGAUGUUUGCCACAGGCUGUGUUCUUACACUACUAGAUAGAAAGAUGGGGAGGAUAAACCUACUCCAUAUACACCUCGGCCCAGACCCUGGUCUUGCUCUGUGUUGUCCAUGGUGGGGACAUUC